ACAGAGGGGGCAAGCGUUGCUCGGAAUUACUGGGCGUAAAGGGCGUGUAGGCGGGAUGGCAAGUCGGUCGUGAAAUCCUUCGGCUCAACCGAAGAACGUCGAUCGAUACUGCUGUUCUUGAGGGUUGCAGAGGAGACUGGAAUUCCCGGUGUAGCGGUGAAAUGUGUAGAGAUCGGGAGGAACACCGGUGGCGAAGGCGGGUCUCUGGGCAAUUCCUGACGCUGAGGCGCGAAAGCGUGGGGAGCAAACGGGAUUAGAUACCCCGGUAGUCCACGCUGUAAACGAUGACGACUAGGUGUGGGGGGGUUCAGUCCCUUCCGUGCCGCAGCUAACGCAUUAAGUCGUCCGCCUGGGGAGUACGGCCGCAAGGUUG
RNAcentral lists this ribosomal RNA (373 nucleotides) under uncultured bacterium. Its description in RNAcentral is "bacterial SSU rRNA". It matches the Rfam family "Bacterial small subunit ribosomal RNA", at positions 525 to 896 of the family's 1533-position model. The record is from RNAcentral.